RNAcentral lists this ribosomal RNA (590 nucleotides) under Mollisia sp. 3 ICMP 18925. RNAcentral describes it as "eukaryotic LSU rRNA". The stretch from base 212 to 365 matches the Rfam family "5.8S ribosomal RNA". Lineage: Eukaryota; Fungi; Ascomycota; Leotiomycetes; Helotiales; Mollisiaceae. The record is from RNAcentral.
UGAGGAAGUAAAAGUCGUAACAAGGUUUCCGUAGGUGAACCUGCGGAAGGAUCAUUAACCAUUGGAUACCUUCGGGUAUAUCCCAUCCGUGUCUACAUACUCUUGUUGCUUUGGCAGGCCGUGGUCACCCACUGUGGGCUAUGCCUGCAUGCGCCUGCCAGAGGACCAAACUCUGAAUAUUAGUGAUGUCUGAGUACUAUAUAAUAGUUAAAACUUUCAACAACGGAUCUCUUGGUUCUGGCAUCGAUGAAGAACGCAGCGAAAUGCGAUAAGUAAUGUGAAUUGCAGAAUUCAGUGAAUCAUCGAAUCUUUGAACGCACAUUGCACCCGGUGGUAUUCCGCCGGGUAUGCCUGUUCGAGCGUCAUUAUAACCACUCAGGCCUGUCUUGGUGUUGGGGUUGCGAAUCUUUUGCAGCCCUCGAGUCUCGUAGCGCCACCUGUGGGUUCUAAGCGUAGUAAUUUCUCCUCGCUAUAGAACCUGCUCGGGGAAAAGUAUAAUUCGUAGCCUGGUUCUAUGUGUCCGCUAUAAAACCCCCAAUUUUUAAAGGUUGACCUCGGAUCAAGUAGGGAUACCCGCUGAACUUAAGCAU